This 253-nucleotide ribosomal RNA is filed under the name uncultured bacterium. Its description in RNAcentral is "partial 16S ribosomal RNA". It matches the Rfam family "Bacterial small subunit ribosomal RNA", at positions 524 to 776 of the family's 1533-position model. The record is from RNAcentral.
UACGGGGGGAGCAAGCGUUGUUCGGAUUUACUGGGCGUAAAGGGCGCGUAGGCGGCGUAACAAGUCACUUGUGAAAUCUCCGGGCUUAACUCGGAGCGGUCAAGUGAUACUGUUGUGCUAGAGUGCGGAAGGGGCUACUGGAAUUCUCGGUGUAGCGGUGAAAUGCGUAGAUAUCUGGAGGAACACCGGUGGCGAAGGCGGCAUCCUGGACCAACACUGACACUGAGGAGCGAAAGCCAGGGGAGCAAACGGG